GUAAUAGAAAUUUCAACGAAACAAACAAAAAACAACUAAAUAUCAUUUACAGUGUCUUUUAUAAAUUUAUACAAGUAAACAUAAGUUGAGGCAUUCUUAAGCAACUCUUUUAAACAUUGCGGGACCCGGUUAGGCUUCUUAUAGAUUUUAAAAGCUCAUCCGCCAACACAAGGCGCUGAAUGUUGAAAGAUGAACAUUCGAAGAAAAUGUGAUGUAGUGAUUGAAUUUUUUGUGAUUGACAAUAUUCGCAAUAGGGAGAAUUAGCCAUUUUAAUACGAUGAAGAUGACAAUUUAAUCUAUAAUGACCAAAACGCAUACGACAAAUAAUUGAAUAAAAUUUUCUAUUGAUAAAAUUAUUUUUCUUGCAAAACCAAGGAGUGGAGUUUAUUUGGACAUCCAUACUAGCAAACCAGUUUCCUUUAUUUUCAUGGAUAAAUUAUAUGAAAUAUGGACACCCAAAAAUUUCACUUCAGAUGUAGUGGGUAACAAACAAUUAUUAUAUUGCACAGCAGGUGUACUGUGACAAUGUUUACCAAAUACAAUAACUUUAGACUUGGAUGGAUUCACACUGAGAUCAAGGAAUCCCUAUUUGUAAUAACUCAAGGCAUAGAAUAUCUAUGUUUACACUAUUAAAAGCACCUGCGAUGUCAAAGAAUACACCGACCAAGUUUUCAUUUGCGGAUAUAGAGUUUUGUAUAUCCAGCUGUAACUGGCAAACGCU
Manduca sexta (tobacco hornworm) is the source of this 721-nucleotide long non-coding RNA. RefSeq lists it as uncharacterized. Lineage: Eukaryota; Metazoa; Arthropoda; Insecta; Lepidoptera; Sphingidae. The transcript has 3 exons. The record is from RefSeq and is a predicted model, not a curated record.